RNAcentral lists this unclassified non-coding RNA (1754 nucleotides) under Hevea brasiliensis (rubber tree). Lineage: Eukaryota; Viridiplantae; Streptophyta; Magnoliopsida; Malpighiales; Euphorbiaceae. The record is from RNAcentral.
UUUUUUAAAAAAAAAAAAAACUCCAUGGCUGCAAUUUGUUAUGCCAACUAACUUGCUUUGCAAAAGGAAGUAAAGGAUAUAUAGGAAAUAUGAUUUACAAGCGUGGUUCCCCUUCAAUGUUAUUUCCCCUGUAGCAUUGGCAUUUCAUUUCACUAUCAAUUUAUUUUUCUUGCUUAAUAUAAGAUUCGCAGGUGAAUAAUGCCAUUUCAACACAUGUAAUUUGCAGAUUGAAUUAGGAAUUUUUUAGCAUCUACAAUCUGGUUCAGCUUUGGUUUGCUGUUUCAAAAACAGAGGAUAUGGAGGACUGCUUGAGCUGGAAGCACUACAGAAGGUUCUGAUGGAAGGCACAGGUCAGUCGUCUCAACAAACUGUUUUGAAGAAUACAAAUUUACUAAAAUGAUACAACCUGGUUCCUUGUCCAUUACAGAAACGUAUGAUAAAAUGCAAGGUGAACUUGUGAAGGAAAGGAACAGCUUAACCAAAAUCUUGACAUCAAAGGAUUUGAAAGCAACUAUAUGCAUUACUAUUUUCACUCAUGCAGCCUUCAAUUUAUUUACUUUACUAUUUUGUGCUGCAUAAUUAUGUUCGCUAUAUGGCUUCGUCUAUUUAUGCUAGUUGUUGGAGAUGGUUGAGCAGAAGGAACUCAAUAGAUCCUUGUUGACACUUCUUGAUGAAAAUAUAGCAAGCGCUCACCAAAGUAACCAGAAUGGAAAAUCUUCGUGCAGCUAUGCUCAAGUACAUGACAGUUUAGCACUCAGAUGCUGCUCACAUGGUUGAUGCAUUGGCAUCCUCAACGGUGGAGUUCCUCCUAGCCAAUUUCUUGAUUACAUAGUCAAUAUGAAAAUGCAUAUUGCAAAGGCUGUUGCUGGAUUUAUUUGGAAGGCACAUAAAACAAGGACAUGGGUUUUGAUGGUUUACUUUUGAAAUACAAGACAUACACUUGGUAGACUUGGACUAAAUCAUCAAGUGUAUGCUUGUGCAUUUGUAUUUAUAUAUAUUAAAUGCAAGAGGUUAUCUGUGUACUGUACAAUCGCUCCAUUUUCCUCCUUGGAUCCUUCAUAGAUUCAAUGAGUAGGAUCUGAAAUCUGUAUUAGAUAUUUAGCUAUGUCAGUCGACUUGCAUAUAAGUUACAACUUGAUUAGAUCAAAAUAUUUUGGUGAGUUACUUCACGAUAAUUUAUUUAGGCCAUUGACUAGCAUUUUCAUCCUUCAUCGUGCUUGGAUGCCCAAUCUUGUUUUUAUGGUGUUUUUGUCCCAAACUGUACCGGUCUCUGUGUGUUUAAGUCCACUGAGUGCAUUGUGGAGGUUAGGCACGUGUAGACACACACAAAGAUCUUCAUUAAUUAGGUAGACUACAGUAUUCGAAGGAAAAGUAAAAACCUGGAUGCUUUAAUUCUUUGCCACAGGAAAGUGGAAAAGAAUAACAGUAUAAAGAGAAAAGAUCAAAGGGAGCAAAGAAUAAUAGAGACAGAGAAAAGAAGGUAUGGACACGUGACAUCUUUUAUUUAAUUUUAGAAGAAGAUAGACAUCUCUAACUUUUAAACCCUCUAUAAAUAUUACUCCCGUUCUUUCAUUCAUUCUAUCGAAAAUCGUUCCAUCUGGACCAUUCCUAUCCUUCAAAGCCAUGGCAAAUUAUGUCCUUUCCCUACUACUUCUCUCCUUUGCCCUGUACACGGCUGGCAUGGCAGGUUCUGCCUCAAGCCCCACGGACUUCAUUAAGUCCUCAUGCAAGGCCACUCGGUAUCCUGACUUGUG